UAUGGAAUCUUCGGCAAUGGGGGCAACCCUGACCGAGCAACGCCGCGUGAGUGAAGAAGGUUUUCGGAUCGUAAAGCUCUGUUGUAAGAGAAGAACGUGUGUGAGAGUGGAAAGUUCACACAGUGACGGUAACUUACCAGAAAGGGACGGCUAACUACGUGCCAGCAGCCGCGGUAAUACGUAGGUCCCGAGCGUUGUCCGGAUUUAUUGGGCGUAAAGCGAGCGCAGGCGGUUUACUAAGUCUGAAGUUAAAGGCAGUGGCUUAACCAUUGUUCGCUUUGGAAACUGUUAAACUUUAGUGCAGAAGGGGAGAGGGGAAUUCCAUGUGUAGCUGUGAAAUGCGUAGGUAUAUGGAGGAACACCGGUGGUGAAAGCGGCGCCCUGGUCUGUAACUGACGCUGAGGCUCGAAAGCGUGGGGAGCAAACAGG
Molecule: ribosomal RNA, 429 nt
Filed under: bacterium
Lineage: Bacteria
Description: partial 16S ribosomal RNA
Rfam family: Bacterial small subunit ribosomal RNA
Source: RNAcentral